UACGUAGGGUGCAAGCGUUGUCCGGAAUUAUUGGGCGUAAAGAGCUCGUAGGCGGUUCGUCGCGUCGGCUGUGAAAACCCGGAGCUCAACUCCGGGCCUGCAGUCGAUACGGGCGGACUUGAGUGUUGCAGGGGAGACUGGAAUUCCUGGUGUAGCGGUGAAAUGCGCAGAUAGCAGGAGGAACACCGGUGGCGAAGGCGGGUCUCUGGGCAACUACUGACGCUGAGGAGCGAAAGCGUGGGGAGCGAACAGG
Molecule: ribosomal RNA, 253 nt
Filed under: uncultured bacterium
Lineage: Bacteria
Description: partial 16S ribosomal RNA
Rfam family: Bacterial small subunit ribosomal RNA
Source: RNAcentral